Molecule: ribosomal RNA, 545 nt
Filed under: Limosilactobacillus reuteri
Lineage: Bacteria; Bacillati; Bacillota; Bacilli; Lactobacillales; Lactobacillaceae
Description: bacterial LSU rRNA
Rfam family: Bacterial large subunit ribosomal RNA
Source: RNAcentral
ACAGGUCGAGCAGGGACGAAAGUCGGGCUUAGUGAUCCGGUGGUUCCGUAUGGAAGGGCCAUCGCUCAACGGAUAAAAGCUACCCUGGGGAUAACAGGCUGAUCUCCCCCAAGAGUCCACAUCGACGGGGAGGUUUGGCACCUCGAUGUCGGCUCAUCGCAUCCUGGGGCUGUAGUCGGUCCCAAGGGUUGGGCUGUUCGCCCAUUAAAGCGGUACGCGAGCUGGGUUCAGAACGUCGUGAGACAGUUCGGUCCCUAUCCGUCGCGGGCGUAGGAAAUUUGAGAGGACCUGUCCUUAGUACGAGAGGACCGGGAUGGACAUACCGCUGGUGUACCAGUUGUUCCGCCAGGAGCACCGCUGGGUAGCUAUGUAUGGACGAGAUAAACGCUGAAAGCAUCUAAGUGUGAAACUCGCCUCGAGAUGAGAUUUCCCAUUUCCUUCGGGANAGUAAGACCCCUCAGAGAUGAUGAGGUAGAUAGGAUGGAAGUGGAAGUGCCGUGAGGCAUGGAGCGGACCAUUACUAAUCGGUCGAGGACUUAACCAAG